RNAcentral lists this long non-coding RNA (2289 nucleotides) under Gallus gallus (chicken). RNAcentral's name for it is "lncRNA (ENSGALG00010000513.1)". Lineage: Eukaryota; Metazoa; Chordata; Aves; Galliformes; Phasianidae. The record is from RNAcentral.
AAAAAAGGAAGAAAAAAGAAGAAAGAAGAGAAUUUAAGAAGAGGGGGAAAAAAGAAGAAAAGGGAAGAAAAAAAGGGGAAAAAAAAGAACAAAAAACAAAAAGAGCAAAACCCGGAGAAAAGAGGUCUUUUCUAUUAAAUAGAAACAAGAUGUUCAAAUAUAGAAUGCAAGAAUUUGAAAUCUGGUGUUUUCCACUCUUGGAUGCUGAUGGCAUUAAAAAAAUCCACUUUGCUGCUUCUGCAAUUUAAAUCCUUACAUCCAAACAUAAAUUAUCCGGAGGGAUAUUAUUUUUAAUUAAAAUGCUCUUUCCGGAAGGAGUUGUUUUGAACUUCACUUCAGUUUUCCCGAAGAUUUUUCUCUUCCCUCUGAUUUAACAUUUCCAUUAAUUACACUGUUCUUAAGCCAUGUCUUGUAAGCGACAUGGGUUGACGUUUCUGAAACUUUGACAGAAAACAGUCCACUUGUUUUGUUUUGUUUUGGGUGAAUGGUUUUGGUGAAAAUGCAUAGCUCUGAAACAACUCAGAGGGAGUGGAAAACCCGGAGCUCUUCAGGCAUGUCAAUGAAUACACAAAAAGCCCCCAUGUUUUUUCAAUGAGCUCUUGAACGUCGAGCUAUACGCUCCGGCUUCCGAGGGGCAAACCGAAAUUUCUGCAGCUCCGGAUGUAUUUGGGCACCUAAAUAUAAGUGGAGCUGUUCUUAGAAAUGCGGAACCCUCACAGAUCUCAGCAAAGGCGAGAAGGGCAGCUCUUGUUGUCACCUCUAAAACCCACUCCUUUUCCUCUCGCUGCCUGAAUGUGACUCUGGGCACUUGGACUGCCGGUUGAGUUCAGCUGCUUUACCAUUUCUUCUUAGAGAAGAACUGGAGAAACAGGAAAACUACUUCUGCAUUCAGUGAAAUAAAGGACUUGAGGCAUUUGGUGAACUUCAAAAGGUUUGAGAGCAGUAGGGCUAGCACACCUGCUUUAUGUUAGAUGGUCUGGAGGCAACCACCUAAGCCACUCAGCACUGGCCCCGCGUUCCCAUAAUGGGCUCCCAGAAGGGCUCCUAUUGCAUUUGCUCCAUUGCCAAAAACCACCUCCCGCCACCAGGAGAAAGGGGCCCGAGCCACCAACUGCCAUGUGCUGAAGGAUGCCGGGAGCAGAGUGGGGCACCUCCAGACUUGCAUCGCCACCAAAUCUUACGCUCUGCCAUUUUGAGCGCACCUUCUUUUUGGUGUUUUGCUUUGGUGUUUUGUCUUCCUGAAGCCCACCCCCAGGUCUUUUCAGGUUAGAGAGACCAGAAAGCUGGCGAGGAAACAAAAUUCCUGGUAAAAAAUGAGAAAAGGCAAGAGAAAUCACCUUCUUUUAUGCCAGCUGGCACGUUCUUUAGGGAAGGACAACUGGGGUUUUUCUGUUACUCAGAGCUGGCAAGCAUCAGGGGUUCGUUUAUACACAUCCCAUGACUUCUCAUCAACUUUUCUACUAUUUGAUGGGCUCUCUUAAAUAUCAGGAUCCCAGCACAAUGGGAAGCUCCGCUGAGCUAUCCAGCCUCCUCUGCUCCCAGGCAAUUGCCACCAAAUGUAUGUUAAAAGAUAGAGAAGGUGAAGGGGAGCUGGGGGCACAGGCACAACUACUGGGGCAGGUACAUCUGCUAAGAAGUCCUAGUGGCUUCAUUGACUUUUUUUUCUCUUCUCCCUGAAAGUAAUUUCUGAAUCAAUCACUCCGCUAUCAGCUUGCUCUAGAGAUGGAUGAGUAACACUAGUGAGAUAAAAGAGUCAAGACUCCCCUUCCCUUGAAUUGGCUGCUUUUUGUUAACAGUAUUCGGAGAGCCAUUAUUUCCCAUAAAAGACAUCUGGAAAAUCAUCAGCGUGUGGUGGAGAAAGUGGCUGUUCUGCUUUGUACUCCCCUUUGAUCCAACAUGGAGCACAACUCACUGCCUUCUGAGAUCAAUAGCUCCCAUCCUGGGGCAUUUUUCUUUCUCAUCUACCGCGGCUGAUUUGAACCACUUUAAGAAAACACAAAUGUCAACUUUUUUGUUGUUGUUGAAUGUGUGUGUUUAUGGAUUUGUGACAGUAAUGCUAGUGCCAGGAAGAGAAUGGCAUGGACCAGCUGCAUGCCCCCAGUGAGUACCACCAAUGGAGUGCUUCCUCUAAGCUUGGUUAGCUUCACUUUUGUCAUACCACGCAACUAAAGAUGCAUGCGCAAACAGGUGGCCAUAGCCUCGGGGGGAUCAGAGAGAAAAGUGUCAACUCUAGCUUGAGCCCAAGCUGCCUACACAGUGGGGUGAGAGGUUAAAAGCAGCUUUAAACUG